Girardinichthys multiradiatus is the source of this 1434-nucleotide long non-coding RNA. RefSeq lists it as uncharacterized. The transcript has 3 exons. NCBI's taxonomy places the organism in Eukaryota, Metazoa, Chordata, Actinopteri, Cyprinodontiformes, Goodeidae. The record is from RefSeq and is a predicted model, not a curated record.
GCCAGCAGAGGAAGCAAUAGAAGCCUCAGGCCUUUUAUGUACUGCACUGCAGUCAGCACUUCACUCGGCGCAGUGUGGGGACACCAGCUCCUGCCAAAAUCUAUCCAUGCCAAGGCCUGCCAGCUUGCUCUCCCCACCCACUCUAAGGGCCAGAGCGUGAGCGGUGGGGUGCCGGUAGGCGGGUGCAAGGUGAGGCUGGUGGGCGGGUGGCCAGGCUGGAGCUUCCUGACACGGGAACCCGCCUCACAGCAGGAUCAAGCGAGCUGCCGAGUGAAUCACUACCUCUCCCACAAACUGGAAAAAAAGCCGGUGCCGGGCCAACAAGCAGACACUUUCAGGAUGAGACAAAAACUAAAAAUACAGCAUUGAAAGCUUAAAUGCUAUGGUCUACACAAUCAAGGUGAAGACUGCUGACUUGGUGAGGUGAAGACUCCAGCAACACUUGAAAUACUGAGAGCCCAACCAACUUUAUUCAGAACAAGGGGUUUCUGCUUCUACCCUUCAUCAGGGACAACAAGCCAAAAUGUGCUGGUCUGUUAAUAAAGUUGGUUCCUCACUUUUUCAAUGCUGGAGUCUUCACCUCACCAGAUCUUUGUCUCUCUCCAUUCGCCUUCAACGUGGUUCAAUUUGUGCCAGAAACUGCUGACUCCUGUCUAAGGACACUGUUACCCUCCACAGGUGCCAGCCACAGAAAAGAAAUAUAUAAUAAAAUCGUGCCAGCAGCAAAAAUCUCCUGAACGGUUCAGGUUCAAGAGCAAACAUUUCAAGCAUUUUCAAACUGGUUGAGAAUUGCUUUGGAUUUGCUUUGGCAUUCCUCACCUGGAAGAAAUGCAGAGGGGAAUUUACACACUUUACCUGAAGAGAGCCCACGAGGAGCCAGGAGAAGGUUUGAGAUGAGCGCGGAGGUCAACAUUUCAGAGUGCUUUUUAUUUAUGUUUUAUCUCAUUUCGGCACUGGUAGAAAACACACUAGAAAGGAUCCACACAUACUCUCACUUUUAUUUAUUUUUUUAUUACUUUACGAAAAGUAUUUCAUAUUUUUAAGACGGUAAAAAACACAAGAGCUGAAACUUCUGUUCAUUUUAUGUUUUAAAUCACUGAAUGUCUUGAUUUAGAUAGCAUUCAGCAUUUGAAUUUAUGUGAAUUCUUAUUUAGUUAAAUAAUUUCAGUACAAGAACUUGAUUUUAACCAAAGAAAGGGCUUAAAGCAUGGACUAAUGAGCAAUUAUUUGAAAUAAAACAUUAUAUUGUUAGUGACCAGUUCAAAAAAUGUAUACUGAAAUCAUCUGAAUGAAAUAUAUUGUUGAAGAUCAUUGCUAAUUGUUUUUUUAAACCAUAUUACCCUCCAUAAUGCAUGUUUGCCCCAUGAACAGUUGUAGCUAAAGUGAGUAAAUGCUGAUUAACCAUUUGUGACACGCAAGGCUGCGUUCAUGACG